CAGGGCACAAAGCUAAAGGAUGUAGCUGCCAUUAUGACAUCAAGGAUGACAUUAAUGCUCGGAGUUCCUCAUCAAAGUGCUCCGCAUCUGUGUGAAAGACAAUUGCAACAUCUUGGUGCAGGAGUUCAUGGACUUGACUGAGGCCACUGCACAGAUUGAGAAAACCA
This is a long non-coding RNA of Maylandia zebra (zebra mbuna), 167 nucleotides long. RefSeq lists it as uncharacterized. NCBI's taxonomy places the organism in Eukaryota, Metazoa, Chordata, Actinopteri, Cichliformes, Cichlidae. The record is from RefSeq and is a predicted model, not a curated record.